Molecule: non-coding RNA, 48 nt
Organism: Schistosoma mansoni
Lineage: Eukaryota; Metazoa; Platyhelminthes; Trematoda; Strigeidida; Schistosomatidae
Source: Rfam
AUCCAACUGACGAGUCCCAAAUAGGACGAAACGAGCAUCGAACUGGAU